UGAACGCUGGCGGCGUGCCUAAUACAUGCAAGUCGAGCGAACAGACGAGGAGCUUGCUCCUCUGACGUUAGCGGCGGACGGGUGAGUAACACGUGGAUAACCUACCUAUAAGACUGGGAUAACUUCGGGAAACCGGAGCUAAUACCGGAUAAUAUAUUGAACCGCAUGGUUCAAUAGUGAAAGACGGUUUUGCUGUCACUUAUAGAUGGAUCCGCGCCGCAUUAGCUAGUUGGUAAGGUAACGGCUUACCAAGGCAACGAUGCGUAGCCGACCUGAGAGGGUGAUCGGCCACACUGGAACUGAGACACGGUCCAGGCUCCUACGGGAGGCAGCAGUAGGGAAUCUUCCGCAAUGGGCGAAAGCCUGACGGAGCAACGCCGCGUGAGUGAUGAAGGUCUUCGGAUCGUAAAACUCUGUUAUUAGGGAAGAACAAAUGUGUAAGUAACUAUGCACGUCUUGACGGUACCUAAUCAGAAAGCCACGGCUAACUACGUG
RNAcentral lists this ribosomal RNA (495 nucleotides) under uncultured bacterium. RNAcentral describes it as "partial 16S ribosomal RNA". It matches the Rfam family "Bacterial small subunit ribosomal RNA", at positions 30 to 507 of the family's 1533-position model. The record is from RNAcentral.